RNAcentral lists this ribosomal RNA (253 nucleotides) under uncultured bacterium. Its description in RNAcentral is "partial 16S ribosomal RNA". It matches the Rfam family "Bacterial small subunit ribosomal RNA", at positions 524 to 776 of the family's 1533-position model. The record is from RNAcentral.
UACGAAGGGGGCUAGCGUUGCUCGGAAUCACUGGGCGUAAAGCGCACGUAGGCGGCUUUUUAAGUCAGGGGUGAAAUCCUGGAGCUCAACUCCAGAACUGCCUUUGAUACUGGGAAGCUUGAUUCCGGGAGAGGUGAGUGGAACUGCGAGUGUAGAGGUGAAAUUCGUAGAUAUUCGCAAGAACACCAGUGGCGAAGGCGGCUCACUGGCCCGAUACUGACGCUGAGGUGCGAAAGCGUGGGGAGCAAACAGG